AACGAACGCUGGCGGCAUGCCUAACACAUGCAAGUCGAACGAGACCUUCGGGUCUAGUGGCGCACGGGUGCGUAACGCGUGGGAACCUGCCCUUAGGUUCGGAAUAACUCCCCGAAAGGGGUGCUAAUACCGGAUAAUGUCUUCGGACCAAAGAUUUAUCGCCUUUGGAUGGGCCCGCGUUGGAUUAGCUAGUUGGUAGGGUAAAAGCCUACCAAGGCGACGAUCCAUAGCUGGUCUGAGAGGAUGAUCAGCCACACUGGACUGAGACACGGCCCAGACUCCUACGGGAGGCAGCAGUGGGGAAUAUUGGACAAUGGGCGAAAGCCUGAUCCAGCAAUGCCGCGUGAGUGAUGAAGGCCUUAGGGUUGUAAAGCUCUUUUACCCGGGAUGAUAAUGACAGUACCGGGAGAAUAAGCGCCGGCUAACUCCGUG
This 432-nucleotide ribosomal RNA is filed under the name uncultured bacterium. RNAcentral's name for it is "partial 16S ribosomal RNA". It matches the Rfam family "Bacterial small subunit ribosomal RNA", at positions 29 to 507 of the family's 1533-position model. The record is from RNAcentral.